This 29-nucleotide non-coding RNA is filed under the name Homo sapiens (human). The record is from RNAcentral. Lineage: Eukaryota; Metazoa; Chordata; Mammalia; Primates; Hominidae.
UGGGAAAGGUCUUCUAUGUUGUUGAACAU